UCCCUGGUAGUAUAUCGGUUAGUACACGCGCCUGUCAUAAGGCAUUCCUCGUGACUUACGCAAUCGCGCGAAAGCUGGGUUCGACUCCCAGCCAGGGAG
Molecule: non-coding RNA, 99 nt
Organism: Paramarasmius palmivorus
Lineage: Eukaryota; Fungi; Basidiomycota; Agaricomycetes; Agaricales; Marasmiaceae
Source: the annotation of a GenBank genome assembly